AUCCUGGCUUAGGACGAACGCUGGCGGCGUGCCUAAUACAUGCAAGUCGAACGGCUUUUCUAUGGAAGCUUGCUUCCACUGAGAAGAUAGUGGCGAACGGGUGAGUAACACGUGGGUAACCUGCCCAUAAGAGGGGGAUAACAUCCGGAAACGGGUGCUAAUACCGCAUAGUUUUCUUGAUCGCAUGAUCGGGAAAGGAAAGACGGCCUUUGUGCUGUCGCUUAUGGAUGGACCCGCGGCGUAUUAGUUAGUUGGUGAGGUAACGGCUCACCAAGACGAUGAUACGUAGCCGACCUGAGAGGGUGAUCGGCCACAUUGGGACUGAGACACGGCCCAAACUCCUACGGGAGGCAGCAGUAGGGAAUCUUCCGCAAUGGACGAAAGUCUGACGGAGCAACGCCGCGUGAGUGAAGAAAAGGUUUUCGGAUCGUAAAACUCUGUUGUCAGAGAAGAACAAGUUGGAGAGUAACUGCUCCAGCCUUGACGGUAUCUGACCAGAAAGCCACGGCUAACUACGUGCCAGCAGCCGC
This 530-nucleotide ribosomal RNA is filed under the name uncultured bacterium. RNAcentral's name for it is "bacterial SSU rRNA". It matches the Rfam family "Bacterial small subunit ribosomal RNA", at positions 16 to 518 of the family's 1533-position model. The record is from RNAcentral.